This 469-nucleotide ribosomal RNA is filed under the name uncultured bacterium. Its description in RNAcentral is "bacterial SSU rRNA". It matches the Rfam family "Bacterial small subunit ribosomal RNA", at positions 28 to 526 of the family's 1533-position model. The record is from RNAcentral.
AACGAACGCUGGCGGCAGGCUUAACACAUGCAAGUCGAACGCCCAUCUUCGGGUGGGAGUGGCGGACGGGUGAGUAACGCGUGGGAACGUGCCCUGUUGGUUCGGAACAACGUCUGGAAACGGACGCUAAGACCGGAUACGCCCGGCCCUGGAAGGGGUCGGGGAAAGGCGAAAGCUGCCGGAGGAGCGGCCCGCGUCCGAUUAGCUUGAUGGUGGGGUAACGGCCCACCAUGGCGUCGAUCGGUAGCUGGUCUGAGAGGAUGGCCAGCCACAUUGGGACUGAGACACGGCCCAAACUCCUACGGGAGGCAGCAGUGGGGAAUAUUGGACAAUGGGCGCAAGCCUGAUCCAGCCAUGCCGCGUGAGUGAUGACGGCCUUAGGGUUGUAAAGCUCUUUCGCACGCGACGAUAAUGACGGUAGCGUGAGAAGAAGCCCCGGCUAACUUCGUGCCAGCAGCCGCCGUAAUAC